RNAcentral lists this ribosomal RNA (456 nucleotides) under Parvimonas sp. oral taxon 110. RNAcentral describes it as "bacterial SSU rRNA". It matches the Rfam family "Bacterial small subunit ribosomal RNA", at positions 28 to 465 of the family's 1533-position model. Lineage: Bacteria; Bacillati; Bacillota; Tissierellia; Tissierellales; Peptoniphilaceae. The record is from RNAcentral.
GACGAACGCUGGCGGCGUGCUUAACACAUGCAAGUCGAACGUGAUUUUUGUGGAAAGCCCUUCGGGGACGGAAAUGAAAUGAAAGUGGCGAACGGGUGAGUAACACGUGAGCAACCUACCUUACACAGGGGGAUAGCCGUUGGAAACGACGAUUAAUACCGCAUGAGACCACAAAGCCACAUGGCUUAGGGGUAAAAGAUUUAUCGGUGUAAGAUGGGCUCGCGUCUGAUUAGCUAGUUGGAAGGGUAAAGGCCUACCAAGGCAACGAUCAGUAGCCGGUCUGAGAGGAUGAACGGCCACAUUGGAACUGAGACACGGUCCAAACUCCUACGGGAGGCAGCAGUGGGGAAUAUUGCACAAUGGGGGGAACCCUGAUGCAGCGACGCCGCGUGAGCGAAGAAGGUUUUCGAAUCGUAAAGCUCUGUCCUAUGAGAAGAUAAUGACGGAUCAUAGGAG